CCUACGGGAGGCAGCAGUGGGGAAUUUUGGACAAUGGGCGCAAGCCUGAUCCAGCCAUGCCGCGUGUGGGAAGAAGGCCUUCGGGUUGUAAACCACUUUUGUCAGGGAAGAAACGGUUUGUCCUAAUACGGCGGACUAAUGACGGUACCUGAAGAAUAAGCACCGGCUAACUACGUGCCAGCAGCCGCGGUAAUACGUAGGGUGCAAGCGUUAAUCGGAAUUACUGGGCGUAAAGCGUGCGCAGGCGGCUUUGCAAGACAGAUGUGAAAUCCCCGGGCUCAACCUGGGAACUGCAUUUGUGACUGCAUGGCUAGAGUACGGUAGAGGGGGAUGGAAUUCCGCGUGUAGCAGUGAAAUGCGUAGAUAUGCGGAGGAACACCGAUGGCGAAGGCAAUCCCCUGGACCUGUACUGACGCUCAUGCACGAAAGCGUGGGGAGCAAACAGGAUUAGAUACCCUGGUAGUCCACGCCCUAAACGAUGUCACUGGUUGUUGGACGGUCUUGCUGUUCAGUAACGAAGCUAACGCGNGAGUGACCGCCGUGGGAGGUACGGCCGCGAGUAGAACGACGAAGAGAGUUAGACGGCGUGAGACGUAGACCGACGGACGACGACGAGGGGAGGUUAGGG
RNAcentral lists this ribosomal RNA (628 nucleotides) under uncultured bacterium. RNAcentral describes it as "bacterial SSU rRNA". The stretch from base 1 to 540 matches the Rfam family "Bacterial small subunit ribosomal RNA", at positions 338 to 873 of the family's 1533-position model. The record is from RNAcentral.